UUGACCUCGGAUCAGGCAGGGAUACCCGCUGAACUUAAGCAUAUCAAUAAGCGGAGGAAAAGAAACCAACAGGGAUUGCCUCAGUAACGGCGAGUGAAGCGGCAACAGCUCAAAUUUGAAAUCUGGCUCUUUUAGGGUCCGAGUUGUAAUUUGUAGAGGAUGCUUCGGCGUCGGCUCCGGUCUAAGUUCCUUGGAACAGGACGUCAUAGAGGGUGAGAAUCCCGUAUGUGAUCGGUUGCCUUGCCAUGUGAAGCUCCUUCGACGAGUCGAGUUGUUUGGAAUGCAGCUCUAAUGGGAGGUAAAUUUCUUCUAAAGCUAAUACUGGCCAGAGACCGAUAGCGCCCAAGU
Molecule: ribosomal RNA, 348 nt
Filed under: uncultured Cenococcum
Lineage: Eukaryota; Fungi; Ascomycota; Dothideomycetes; Gloniales; Gloniaceae
Description: eukaryotic LSU rRNA
Rfam family: Eukaryotic large subunit ribosomal RNA
Source: RNAcentral